This 497-nucleotide ribosomal RNA is filed under the name uncultured bacterium. RNAcentral describes it as "partial 16S ribosomal RNA". It matches the Rfam family "Bacterial small subunit ribosomal RNA", at positions 28 to 507 of the family's 1533-position model. The record is from RNAcentral.
GAUGAACGCUGGCGGCGUGCCUAAUACAUGCAAGUCGAGCGAACAGACGAGGAGCUUGCUCCUCUGACGUUAGCGGCGGACGGGUGAGUAACACGUGGAUAACCUACCUAUAAGACUGGGAUAACUUCGGGAAACCGGAGCUAAUACCGGAUAAUAUAUUGAACCGCAUGGUUCAAUAGUGAAAGACGGUUUUGCUGUCACUUAUAGAUGGAUCCGCGCCGCAUUAGCUAGUUGGUAAGGUAACGGCUUACCAAGGCAACGAUGCGUAGCCGACCUGAGAGGGUGAUCGGCCACACUGGAACUGAGACACGGUCCAGACUCCUACGGGAGGCAGCAGUAGGGAAUCUUACGGAAUGGGCGAAAGCUUGACGGAGCAACGCCGCGUGAGUGAUGAAGGUCUUCGGAUCGUAAAACUCUGUUAUUAGGGAAGAACAAAUGUGUAAGUAACUAUGCACGUCUUGACGGUACCUAAUCAGAAAGCCACGGCUAACUACGUG